UCGGUCGGGUUCCAUGUUUGCUGUGAUCCAUAGUAAAGCUUCACCUCUGGGAAUUUUAAACAAGGAAUCACCGUAUGUUUGUGUGGCUAAAGGCUAAAGCUUCUUAACUCCAUCUUUCUACUUUGACUUCUCCAAUAUUAAUUGAACAAAUUGCAAAAGAUUCAGCAACACAGAUGUCCAAAAUACUGUGUAAUUAUGCGGUUAAAGCAGACAACUUUUAGCUCUGUGUGUGUGUGCAGCGCUCAUAUUCAUAACAGCCCGUGACGUCAUGCGUACACGUCAUCAUUACGCGACGUUUUCAAGAAAAAACUUCCGGGAAAUUUAAAAUUGCAAUUUGGUAAACUAAAAAGGCCGGGUUGGCAUGUGUUGCAAUGUUAAUAUUUAAUCAUUGAUAUAGAAACUAUCAGACUGUGUGGUGGGUAGUAGUGGGUUUCAGUAGACCUUUAAAGGUGCUGCCAAGAGAAAUGUGCGAGACUGCUCAAAGUAGGUUGUGCCAAGCUUGUGGCAUCAUAUUCAAAAAGACUUGAGGCUUCAAUUGCUGCCCAAGGUCCAUCAACAAAGUAUUGAGAAAAGGCUGUCAAUUCUUAUGUUUAUUUGACUUCUUAGUUUUAAUACAUUUGCAUUUAUACCAUGUUAGAAUGAGGCUGUAACGUAUCAAAGUGUGGAAAAGGUGAAGCACUACUAAUACUUUCCAUAUGCACUUUAUUUGUUUUGGUAUCUUAUUUAAAUGUUUCAUAUCUAAUCACCCAAAAAUGGACCAUUGGAAGCUCUUUUGGCCCUCAGGUUUACACCACCAUGUUUUUUUAGUUUCCUACCAUCCGAGUGUAGCUGGGAUAGGCUCCAGUCCCCCUUCGGUCCCAAAAGGGACAAACGUUAGAAAAUGUAUGAAUGGAUGUUUUUUUUUUUUUAAAUGAGCUGUUGUAAAUAAAAAAAACAACUAAACGCCAUCUUGUGCAAAUAGUGUAUUUUUCUCUCUCCACGAGGUGGCGUUGUUACUCUGCCUUAACACAUUGCAGGGUUUCCUCUGCAUUCUGCAAUAACUUUGAAGCAAUUGUGUGCAGAUGCAUAUCUCCCUGGAGGGGAUUUUCAUUUAAAAGGCUUAUUUCAGCUCCCUGCAGGGUUAAAUGUGUUAUUAUAUAUGCAGUUCAUUGAUUUCUGGGGGAUGGAUGCAAAAUAGUUCUACUGAAUGUGCAGUUUUUUGUCAUUUUACUGCUAUUAUGACGAAAUAGAAGCAUGACGCAUAGAUCAAUAUAUAUUACAUUAUACAUUCGACAUUAUUACUAUACUUUUUUGUGGUGGAUUACUAAAAUUCAACUUUAAAGAAGUGUAGUUAAUUUGACCUUUAUUAUCUAAUUUUUUUUUAAUUACAUUUUUUAACUUUAACAGCCCGCUGUAUUAAUUUGUAUUUUUUAGAUGAAUUCUCUCAACAAAAAGAAUAAUGGAAUAAUACGUACCCAUAAUACAUUAAUAACAGUCUUCAAAUAUAUUACUUAUUUAAGAUCAACAUUUUAAAUACAGUACUAUAAAACUACAGUCCAAAAAUAUUUUAAUUGAGUCCCUUUUUAUUUGCUCAAAACAAAAAUUGUUUUUGUGCGUCAGGAAAUUGAAUGGAACGACAUGCUGACAGGCAAUAAGUAGCAGCCUUUAAGCGAAAUUUAAUUUUCUGGCAGCAACAUUUUCUUUUCAGUUUUUUUUUUUUUUUUUAUAUCAAAGGGGUUAUAUUUUCUAUUAAAUAGCCAAUUUUGCAACAAGGUUUAUUGCUGUUCAUGUCCUUUUUUUGUGCAAAUGUAGGUAUAAGUCAUGCAAUUUGGAAUCUUUUUUUUAAUUUUUUUUUUUACGUUGUUUCCUCUCGUGUGUAAACACCACCAAGUGGUUUACCGAAACCACUGGUUUUAGUUCUGGAUAGUGAUACUAUAUGUAAUUAUGGUGACUAUGUGUUUGAUUUUGUAAUGAGCAAACCAUUUGAAACACUUGUUCCCAUUAUGUAUGCCAUAAUGGUACUCCCAAGAUUUGCCUCUGUGUAUACACCAUCCACUCUUUGGGUGGCCAGUGGAAGUAAUUUGCAUACUCUACACUAAACUUGUGAAAUGAUGUUUGCAUAGUCAAUGAAUCAGCCUCGCAAGUGGCGUUAAUGAUCUUAGGAAAUUAACCAUUUGUCAGGUGUGGGCUAAACGGUUUUGCACACUAAUAAAUGUAUUUCUGGGCGA
Long non-coding RNA from Nerophis ophidion (straightnose pipefish), 2207 nucleotides. RefSeq lists it as uncharacterized. The transcript is spliced from 2 exons. The record is from RefSeq and is a predicted model, not a curated record. Lineage: Eukaryota; Metazoa; Chordata; Actinopteri; Syngnathiformes; Syngnathidae.